Molecule: long non-coding RNA, 1476 nt
Organism: Oreochromis aureus
Lineage: Eukaryota; Metazoa; Chordata; Actinopteri; Cichliformes; Cichlidae
Source: Ensembl
GGCUUUCCAUACAUGUGAACGUGUUAAUUUGUGCACAUGUGCGUUUUUGUUAGUUUUUAACCAUUGAAUGAUUUGUACAUAUUAACAUCUGUCAUGUUGAAUGUGUUUCCGUGGUGAUUGUUUUUAGGUUUGUCGGCCAUUUUUGUGACAGACAACAAGGUUUGAAUUGAACCGAUGCACUUUGUCCGAAAGUACUACAGCAUUUAAAUCUGACAAACAGUGAGUAGAUGAAUGAAUGAAUGAAGGUGAGAGACACGUGAACUAUCUGAAUGACCCCUGUGCAGAAGUGAGAAACCAAACAAAUAAGCGACUACAACUGAUACUUCCAGGACUUCUUCAGUAUACAUUUGAUUGGACUUGCAAAAACGUCACCAAGCUUCAUCAGUGAUUUUUCUCAUGUGUACAUAUGACUUUUUUGUUCCAGUGUUAAUGCAGUCAUAUCAGGUCAUCCAGUUUCUGCUUUAAAGCUGUGAAGACCACAGGUAAUAGUUUUUAAUCGCCGGAUAAUAAUUUGUGACAGUCAAGUCUAACAAUUAUGAACGAGUUGCAACACACUGCAAGAUAUGACUUCCAGUUAGCUUCACAUAUGAGAAGCUUGAAUGUUCCACUGAUUGUUUCAGCAUUCAAACUUACCCCACCAUAACCCUCAGGCCAUUAUUGUCAGACAGCGAAAUCAUGUUGAGUGCGAUAAACUUCCAACAGGAAUACGAUUAAAGUUUUGCUAACAUUUAUGUUGCGGAGCAUUUAGAAUGGUAAGCAUUUCAUGCAAACCCUUAACUAGAUGUGAUGCUUUAAAUGUGACAGCUGCACUUUGGUUUGGCUCAAGGCCCGUUUGGAGCGUGCCGUCCCUUUAAAGCUGCUGAGUGAUGCAGCAGUUUGCAAGAGAAAACACACCAGACUCCAAAUAUAUGCAUAAAACUGUGUAUUCUAAUGGACACUGUGCUGUAACUCUGAAUAUAAUGCAAAAGUACUAAAUAACAAUUGAGCUUUGACACUAUAUUAAAUCUGCAGUAAGUUUUAUGUACAAACGGUUUGUUUUUUAAUAACACUGUGAGCGUGGUGCUGUUCACUACCCAGCAAAAACCAUAUGUUCUCCACAUUCCUGUUUUUGUCCUGUGGAAACUUUGUAUCCAGCAACCAUGUAAAGAUACUUUCCAGCGGUUUAAACUUUUUAUUUAAAAUCAGAAAGAAAUGCAAGAACAGCAGGUACAAGGUGCUUUAGCAGGAUGUUAACAUGUAAAUCUGUGUUUCUACCAUGUUGUAACCAAUUGCAGUACUUCUCUUUUCAUAUUGUUGUGCACAUCUUUUUACUUUGAAUGUCUUUGGACACUUUGUGAACAAAAUGCUUUUUUUCUUCUCUCAGAAUAUUGUUCUAAUAAAAUAAGCAGCAUUGAAAAGAAGUGGAGUUGUUUCAGUGGAAGUUUCUGGAAGAUUUCAGAACAAUGACAGUGCACACAUUCAAUGGUUACACACUCA